This is a long non-coding RNA of Patiria miniata (bat star), 437 nucleotides long. RefSeq lists it as uncharacterized. The transcript is spliced from 4 exons. NCBI's taxonomy places the organism in Eukaryota, Metazoa, Echinodermata, Asteroidea, Valvatida, Asterinidae. The record is from RefSeq and is a predicted model, not a curated record.
AAACGCGUACUGUGUACCGCGUGGCGUACGAUAUGUAUACAGUAUGUGCAAAGCAAAGUUCGGUCGCGGAAGUAGUGCUCCAAGCUUUCUCGAGGAGUUCUGAAUUGAAGAGAAUAUUACCACCAACUAACAGUACCAAGUAGCUGUUCAAGAUAUUGCACUGCAGCAGUUUCAUAUUUCCCUGCAGCUAUAGGCCCCUGUUGCCUUGUACCCAUUUCUGUGCUCAAGAUGUGCUAUAAAGUCAAGUGUGACAAAUGCCAGAAAUUCACCUGGAAAGGAUGUGGCCGUCAUGCAGAACAAGUCAUGAAGGAUAUACCACAGGAGGAGAGAUGCCAGUGUCCCAGAUCUUGAUUUACAUGAUCAUUGGAUGGCUUCAAAAUGCAUGCACCGGAAGUAUUUGGCAUUAUUGAGUGUACUCUGCAGGGCCAAACUUAAAG